RNAcentral lists this ribosomal RNA (1259 nucleotides) under Deleatidium vernale. RNAcentral's name for it is "16S ribosomal RNA". The stretch from base 836 to 1196 matches the Rfam family "Bacterial large subunit ribosomal RNA", at positions 2071 to 2649 of the family's 2925-position model. The record is from RNAcentral. Lineage: Eukaryota; Metazoa; Arthropoda; Insecta; Ephemeroptera; Leptophlebiidae.
UAGGUUCUGUAAUUAAAGUUAUAUAUUGUAAAAUUUAAAAGAAUAGAAAAGAAUAAGUGUUUAGUAUAUUACUUGGAUAAAAUUAGGUUAAGGAACUGUGAAGGCAACGUGAAAUAAAUGAAAAUAUGUAAAUUAAAAGUAGGUUUAAUUACUGUACCUUUUGUAUCAGGGUAUACCAAAUAGUUUAAAAUAUUUAAUUUUCCCGAAAUAAAGUGAGCGAAUAUUAAAUGAAAUUAUUGUGGCAAAUAUAUUAAUUAUUUAAUUUUGGCUAUGAGAUAUAAGUCGGACUUUAUGAUAUCUGGUUUCUUGAGAAAUGAAUUUAAUUCAGGGCCCCCAAAAAGUUGACACCUAUUAUUUGGCUUUUAUUGGUGGGCUCUAAAUAUGUAAGGGAUAAGCUUUACAUACUCCUAUAACAAUUUAUUAUAAUUAAAAUGUAGGCUUAGAAAUAGCUUCCUUGAAAGUGUUAUAAUUUAUUAAUAUAAUAUAUAAUUUUUAUUUAUUUAGGUUAGUAUUAAGAAAUGGUCUUUAAUAUAAUAAGACUAAAUAAAAUGAUAUAAUUAUUAUAAAAGGAUGUAUAUUAUAACUAUUAUAUAAGGUCUUUGGAAGGAACUCGGCAAAAACUUUACCCGCCUGUUUACCAAAAACAUCGCCUUUUGCAUUGAAUAAUAGGUCUGGCCUGCCCACUGAUUUUGAAGGGCCGCGGUAUUUUGACCGUGCAAAGGUAGCAUAAUCAUUAGUCUUUUAAUUGAAGGCUGGAAUGAAUGGUUGGACGAGGUAAAAGCUGUCUCCCAAAGAUUAAAUAGAAUUUGACUUAUCAGUUAAAAGGCUGAGAUAGUGUUAGAGGACGAGAAGACCCUAUAGAUCUUGAUAAAGAUAUUUAAAUUUUAUAGAUGAGGUAUAUAUUUAAAAAUUCUUUAUUUUGUUGGGGCGACAAGGAAAUAAAAUAACUUUCUUUAUUAAAACACUGAUUAGUGAUUAAAAGAUCCAUUAUUAAUGAUUAUAAGAAUAAGUUACCUUAGGGAUAACAGCAUAAUCUUCUUUGAGAGUUCUAAUCGACGAGAGGGGUUGUGACCUCGAUGUUGGACUAAGGGUAACUUCAGGUGUAGCAGUCUGGAGUCUGGGUCUGUUCGACCCAUAAAACCUUACAUGAUCUGAGUUCAAACCGGCGUGAGCCAGGUUGGUUUCUAUCCUUAAUAUAAAAAAUGAUUUAGUACGAAAGGACCAUUCAUUUAAGAUAAUCUUUAUAAAAGAAUAUUAUU